This 468-nucleotide ribosomal RNA is filed under the name uncultured bacterium. RNAcentral's name for it is "partial 16S ribosomal RNA". It matches the Rfam family "Bacterial small subunit ribosomal RNA", at positions 28 to 507 of the family's 1533-position model. The record is from RNAcentral.
GACGAACGCUGGCGGCGUGCUUAACACAUGCAAGUCGAACGGAAAGGCCCUGCUUUUGUUGGGUGCUCGAGUGGCGAACGGGUGAGUAACACGUGAGUAACCUGCCCUUGACUUUGGGAUAACUUCAGGAAACUGGGGCUAAUACCGGAUAGGAGCUCCUGCUGCAUGUUGGGGGUUGGAAAGUUUCGGCGGUUGGGGAUGGACUCGCGGCUUAUCAGCUUGUUGGUGGGGUAGUGACUUACCAAGGCUUCGACGGGUAGCCGGCCUGAGAGGGUGACCGGCCACAUUGGGACUGAGAUACGGCCCAGACUCCUACGGGCGGCAGCAGUGGGGAAUAUUGCACAGUGGGCGGAAGCCUGAUGCAGCAACGCCGCGUGCGGGAUGACGGCCUUCGGGUUGUAAACCGCUUUCGCCUGUGACGAAGCGUGAGUGACGGUAAUGGGUAAAGAAGCACCGGCUAACUACGUG